UCUGGAUUUUAACACAUUUACCAUGUAGGGCAAUGAGGUCAGCUCAUAGGCAGGCAGUGCAUAGGUUCUGGUAAUGACCUCAGGGAUACCAGUGAGGGGGUCUUCUAGUGACAGGUCACACCCUGAGAAGGAGGAUGGAGUUAAGGAGACGGCCAGACCCGGUGGUCCAUUCUGUGGAGAGGCAGCCUCCAGCCGCACUGGCACUGAACAGACACAGGACCCUGUGUUUAGGUACCUGGCCUGUGAGCACGUCUUUCCAAAACACUUCUGGCAGCUGGUGACGUCCGAAUCUGCUGGUAAAUAUGGUUUCUUGGCCAUAGGCUUAUUUUCUUUUUCUUUUGAAGUUUUUAUUUUUUCUAUUUUUUUAAAGUUUUAUUGAAGUGUAAUUGAUUUGCAAUGUUGUGAUCAUUUCUGCUGUAAAACAAAGGGAUUUAGUUAUACAAUACACUUACCCAUUCUUUUUCAGAUCUUUUUUUCCUCUGUAGGUUAUCACAGAAUAUUGGGUAGAGUUACCUGGGUACAGGCUUAUUUUCUACCUGGUCCACUUGCUGCCAUGUCUUUCUUCUCAUAGCAACUCUGGGUCUCUGAUGGGGGGUCAGCUGCAGAUCUCCAGUAUCCUGACUUGUCCUUUUACUUUCCCAGGAGAAGUCCUUUGUCCAACUUCUUUUACCAUCUCCACCCAGUUCUCCUCUGCUUAUUAUACUUCCCCUUCUAGUCUUACCCCACCCCACAUGGUCCCAGGUCAGCCCUAACAGUUAACCUGUUAGGAAACCUCCUUUGCAGCACCUGCUCAACCAGGGGUGCCUGGAAAAUACUUCCACAAGCCCACAUGGUGUUUGAGCUCCCACUACGUGCCAACAGAGGGCGGGCUACCGGGACCUCCCUCAGAUCUGUUUCUGUGCAGAAGUUGAGACUGAAGGGAGGGCACGUGAUUUAAUAAUUAGAGGGGAGGAAGCCUCACAUAAAAUAGAGAUGCGGUAUAGGCUGUAUCUGUGACCUGAAGGAAAUGCCCCAGGUGGGUUCUUCUACUUGAUCUGCAAAUGCCAACCUGUGGUUUCUAUGAGGCACGGGCUGUGCUGGGCAUCUGGGAUAGGAAAGCUGUAGAGUCACUGCCUUUGAAACACCUGCCAUUCGGCAGAGGACAAAGCAGGUGCCUGCAGCUCUGGCUCCUCUGUUCCACUUCCUACGAAGCAGGAGAAAGGCCUUUACCUUGGCCCUUAUCUUAUUUUACUCCUGUUCUAGAGAAGAGGCUUCGUGCCUAUGUGUCCUAACACAUGAUCCCAGUUCUGUAAUCAAAAAUACAUUAGCAUCCAUUGUGGACGUACAGAUCUUGAGCCCUAGAAAUACUAAAGUAUUGAAUCAAGGUCACACAGCUAGCCAGAUGUGGAGCUGGGAUUGGAAUCCAGGUCUUUCUGCUUCUUUUGAGAUGCUCCUUUGGUGACAGGUAAGGAUGGUGGGGUGGGGUCCUGGCUCAUGUGGAGGCAGAGAGAAGGGCUGGGGAAGAUGCAAGACAGUGAGAGCUGCCUGGAUAGGAGGUGUUAGGGGUGUGAAUCAGGACAAUGUCUGUGAAGGGGUGAAAGGGAGCCAAGAGGGAUGUGGGAUGUGUGAUUAUGAGCCUUCUGCAGAAGCUAACCUGACCCAAGCAGAGGGCUGGGUGUUGAGGGUGCAUAGAUGAACAGCCUCAGCCAGCUCACUGUCCAGUGGGUUGGGAAACUGGAGCUUUCACCCACAGGACUGCAUCACUGACAGGCCAUUGGAGGAGAGGGUGAACUCCAAGAAGGCUGCCUGGAGGAGGCAAGCCUGAGCUGAUCCCUGAAAAGUCAAGGCGGUGGUAAGAGGAACCACAGGAAACUGAUAGCUAAAUGUUCUUUCCAGGAAAAGCAAAAACGGAGUGAAGAGGAGGUGACAGAGGAUGGAACACCACAGUUUCUGUUUUAUAAAGUUCUUUCUGGGGGCAUGUAGACCCAUCCCUCUCCACAAGCAGGCUCUAGCCCUCUUCUCCAGGUUUGUCCAUCAGGCCUGACCUCUGGCUUCUUGCCUUGGUGCUCUUUGCUUCCUCUCCUUGUUGAGGAGGGUCAGCUCCCUCCCCAUGAACUUCCUGUGAGGUCAGUUUUGACCAGAUGAGGACCAGAGAAACACACUGGGAGACUGAAGGGUCUGAUCUGGAUUGAACUAGAGAGGACCAUAAGGCUAUCAUCUGGCAGAAGGAAACAUAGGGUCGGCACAGAGGCCACACAAGGCUGGGAGAAAGAUUUGCCUUCAUCAGAGUCCUCUGUCACAAGAUGUAUGGUAACUGUCAUGAACUCUAGGCUCAUUUGACCAAGAAUAGUGAUAUUCUUGGCCCAGAGUAAGGGAAACCAUGGAACAAGAUGCUUGCCACCCACUGCUGUUGUCUGGGACCAAGUGGAAGUUCAGAGUCUCCAGGACCUUGCUGAGCUGGGGGCUCACUCAUUAGCAAGGACUUGGGCAGUAUUCUGGGACAAGCUACUUGAUGAGACAUGGCAUCCUAUAGAACUGUGGCCCUUUCUGGUUUUCUUUUCUUUCUUUUUUUUUUUUUUUUUUUUCCUUUCUUGCAAAUAACCCCCUGACUUUAUUAUAAAUAGACUGCAACUUCCCAGCAAAGGCAGGUAACAGACAGUGUCCAGACAGAAGCUCAGGCCUAGGCCACCCGGCACACAGAGCUCCCCAUGCAGCCGGGUGCAGGGUGCUUCUGAGGCAGCCCUGGCAUCCUGGGCAGACAGGUUUAAUGGCCAAAGCCUGGGCAUAGUGCACUGAUCUCACUCCAUAGCAGCCCGACACAGCCCCCCAGGCCGUGGCCAUGGCCCAGUGUGCCAUCCUGUGUAUGUCCUUUUGCUGUACCUUGUUUCUGGGGUGUGUGGAAAAACCACCCCUUACCUUUCCAGUGGGAGCUCACAUAUAUUUGAAGAACUAAUUGACUGUAGCUGCUUGAUGCCAAGUAUACUUUUAUACCCUUGUCCACCUUUGGGGAUGAAGCAGACUCCCGCUUUGAGUGAUUAGUCUGGGUGAUGAGGAUUUCAUAUGGGUGUUAGGGGAGACUAGAGCCCUGGAACAGCUGCUGAAGUGUAAAGGGAAAGGCUGUGCUCAGGGCAGGUUCUGGAUUUGACCCCAGGCUCUUCACGAAACCCACUUUCCCCUGUGGUUUGUCUUCUACAGAAGGACCCACCUUACUGCCUGUUAACCAUGAAUCCACUUUUUUUUCCUUUCUAUUUUGGUUGUAAAUGAUUUAUUGGUUGAGAUAGAAAUCAUUUCCUAAUUUUCCAGGGAAAACAGUCGCCUUCAUUUUCACUGAUUGAGGCAUAAUUAUGUGUUCACAUGUCAUCAAGUUCACACUUGCAUGCUCAGUGGCCUCUUGGGACUGGGGAACUGAGGUCUGAGAGGAGCGGAUGGAGUGCCCGCUGGGAGGAGGACAACAUGCGUCCUGGGAGCAGAAGAUGCUGGUCAGUUUUGACUUGACACAACCCUCCAUCUCUGCACCACUGGGGGAAAGGGAGCCCCUUCCUGUCCUGCCCAUGCCUCCUGUUCCCACCAUGGACACCUCUUCUCACCUUGACUGGGGAUGCCCAUCUGGCUCCUGGAUGUCUCGCCUGGUGUUUGACUCUGACCCACUGGCCAGCUAUGGAGUUUUCCUACUUGCCUUUCUCUGUAUAGGACACAGAAUUAGCCUUAAAAAUAAUCCCAGAACAAGGUUUUCUACACAACGUUCAAAACUCGUCUUGUCAAACACAUGUUGCUGAGAUUUCGCUGUGAGCCUGACCCCAUGUCCCCAAGGCUGCUAAACUCCAUCUCUCCAAACAGCUGUGUCCAGUUGUCUCUGUGUUCACGACAACCACUCCAAGAGGCCUUGGAAAGAAGGGAACAGCUCCACAGGCCUUGGGGUUGUUUACUGAUCAUUUUCAAGUUUAAGUUUCAGGUCUGACUUUGGAUGGCCAGGGGUCCUAGAGGUCUAUGGGCUUCCAAACAUAGGUUACACAUGGAGAAACAGAGCAGUCAAAAUUCCACAUGCUUUUGCUAGAGAAAGUCAAACAUCUGGAUAUUUAAAAAGCAAGAUUUUUAAUGGAGCUUUUCAGUUUUCUCAUGGAUAUUUGGCCAUAUGUAGCUGCAAAUGUGAAUCAAAGUCUAGAAAUAAUCUGUGGAUUUGCACUGCAAGUUCAGUGGGCACUGAAGUGGAACUGUCAAAAUGAAGGGUCCACACUAGCCCAAGUUAAUGUCUUGGUUUUGUGUUAUUUUGAGCUGAUGACAGCACGUGUGUAUUAUAUUAUAGCAAUCUGCCAUGGCAUUAGUAGUUCUGGUGUGUGAUAAAUGCAAUAGAUCCCAAAGGAAGUCCACACAGAGGUUAACUCCAUCCAAACAAGUUAUAUAUAGCGUUCCUCUCGCUAAACUCCAGCAAGUCACUUUCUGUGUUCAAAUAACACUACACUGGAGCAAUAUUUUGGUAUAAAUUUUGUCCAAGUGAUGAGUGUUUCCAGGGCAGGAUUUCAUGUUCCCCUGGAUAAUAUGUCCUGUGAUGCUGAGGGUAAUUAGGAGUGAAUGCACAGCAAGCCCAUCUCUGGGGAGGUCCCUAGGAGAUUAUUACAUCGAAGCUGUGGAAUGGAUGAGCCUAACGGGACUGGAGCUGAGAGUCAAUUGUGGAUCAUUUCCAAGGCAGAAAGACUAUAGAGUGAUCCAUGGCCGAGAACACACACUGAUUCCCUCAGCGUUCAUGGCCAUGUGGCCACUGGGCUCAGUGCCACUUGCUGAGAAAAGGAAGAUGAAUAUAUUAGAGAGCUUGGGGUAGUGUGGGAAAUCCAAAGCAUCUAGACAAGGCUGAGGAGGAAAGCGCUGGAUCAUAAGCCCUCCUCUGCUCUGCGCUUGCUCCGCCACCUGGUAUUUGUCUAAGGUCCACCUGAGCAUCUCCACAGCAGGUGCUGUGCAACACAUCCCUGGGACGGCGCCCUCCGUGCACCUCCCUUGUGAUUACAGCUUCCAUCUGCUCUAUUUGCGUGGGCAGAAGAGGACAUUUGGUAAACCAAAAAAUCUCUGGUUGGAGCCAUUCUUUAAGGAUCCUGGACUGAAAGGAUCCUAAGUGAAAUGGGAGUCAGAAAAUCAAGUAGUCUUGGAAGUUCCCACUGUGGCUCAGUGGCCACAAGCCCAACUAGUAUCCAUGAAGAUGUGGGUUUGAUCCCUGAUCUCGCUCAGUUAAGGAUCCAGUGUUGCUGUGGCUGUGGCUGCAGUGUAGGCUGGCAGCUGUAGCUCCAAUUUGACCCCUAGCCUGGGAACUUCAUAUACCUUGGGUACAGCCCUAAAAAGC
RNAcentral lists this long non-coding RNA (5308 nucleotides) under Sus scrofa (pig). Its description in RNAcentral is "lncRNA (ENSSSCG00000057825.1)". The record is from RNAcentral. Lineage: Eukaryota; Metazoa; Chordata; Mammalia; Artiodactyla; Suidae.